GGGGAAACCCAGUGCAAUUCGUUGCACUAUCGUUAACUGAAUACAUAGGUUAACGAGGCGAACCGGGGGAACUGAAACAUCUAAGUACCCCGAGGAAAAGAAAUCAACCGAGAUUCCCCCAGUAGCGGCGAGCGAACGGGGAGCAGCCCAGAGUCUGAAUCAGCUUGUGUGUUAGUGGAACGGUCUGGAAAGUCCGACGGUACAGGGUGAUAGUCCCGUACACCAAAAUGCACAGGUUGUGAACUCGAAGAGUAGGGCGGGACACGUGGUAUCCUGUCUGAAUAUGGGGGGACCAUCCUCCAAGGCUAAAUACUCCUGACUGACCGAUAGUGAACCAGUACCGUGAGGGAAAGGCGAAAAGAACCCCGGCGAGGGGAGUGAAAAAGAACCUGAAACCGUGUACGUACAAGCAGUGGGAGCACCUUCGGGUGUGACUGCGUACCUUUUGUAUAAUGGGUCAGCGACUUAUAUUCUGUAGCAAGGUUAACCGUAUAGGGGAGCCGCAGGGAAACCGAGUCUUAACUGGGCGUUAAGUUGCAGGGUAUAGACCCGAAACCCGGUGAUCUAGCCAUGGGCAGGUUGAAGGUUGGGUAACACUAACUGGAGGACCGAACCGACUAAUGUUGAAAAAUUAGCGGAUGACUUGUGGCUGGGGGUGAAAGGCCAAUCAAACCGGGAGAUAGCUGGUUCUCCCCGAAAGCUAUUUAGGUAGCGCCUCGUGAACUCAUCUUCGGGGGUAGAGCACUGUUUCGGCUAGGGGGUCAUCCCGACUUACCAACCCGAUGCAAACUACGAAUACCGAAGAAUGUUAUCACGGGAGACACACGGCGGGUGCUAACGUCCGUCGUGAAGAGGGAAACAACCCAGACCGCCAGCUAAGGUCCCAAAGUCAUGGUUAAGUGGGAAACGAUGUGGGAAGGCACAGACAGCCAGGAUGUUGGCUUAGAAGCAGCCAUCAUUUAAAGAAAGCGUAAUAGCUCACUGGUCGAGUCGGCCUGCGCGGAAGAUGUAACGGGGCUAAACCAUGCACCGAAGCUGCGGCAGCGACACUAUGUGUUGUUGGGUAGGGGAGCGUUCUGUAAGCCUGCGAAGGUGUGCUGUGAGGCAUGCUGGAGGUAUCAGAAGUGCGAAUGCUGACAUAAGUAACGAUAAAGCGGGUGAAAAGCCCGCUCGCCGGAAGACCAAGGGUUCCUGUCCAACGUUAAUCGGGGCAGGGUGAGUCGACCCCUAAGGCGAGGCCGAAAGGCGUAGUCGAUGGGAAACAGGUUAAUAUUCCUGUACUUGGUGUUACUGCGAAGGGGGGACGGAGAAGGCUAUGUUAGCCGGGCGACGGUUGUCCCGGUUUAAGCAUGUAGGCUGAUUGUCCAGGCAAAUCCGGAUAAUCAAGGCUGAGGUGUGAUGACGAGGCACUACGGUGCUGAAGUAACAAAUGCCCUGCUUCCAGGAAAAGCCUCUAAGCAUCAGGUAACAUCAAAUCGUACCCCAAACCGACACAGGUGGUCAGGUAGAGAAUACCAAGGCGCUUGAGAGAACUCGGGUGAAGGAACUAGGCAAAAUGGUGCCGUAACUUCGGGAGAAGGCACGCUGGUGUGUAGGUGAAGUCCCUGCGGAUGGAGCUGAGACCAGUCGAAGAUACCAGCUGGCUGCAACUGUUUAUUAAAAACACAGCACUGUGCAAACACGAAAGUGGACGUAUACGGUGUGACGCCUGCCCGGUGCCGGAAGGUUAAUUGAUGGGGUUAUCCGUAAGGAGAAGCUCUUGAUCGAAGCCCCGGUAAACGGCGGCCGUAACUAUAACGGUCCUAAGGUAGCGAAAUUCCUUGUCGGGUAAGUUCCGACCUGCACGAAUGGCGUAAUGAUGGCCAGGCUGUCUCCACCCGAGACUCAGUGAAAUUGAACUCGCUGUGAAGAUGCAGUGUACCCGCGGCAAGACGGAAAGACCCCGUGAACCUUUACUAUAGCUUGACACUGAACAUUGAGCCUUGAUGUGUAGGAUAGGUGGGAGGCUUUGAAGCGUGGACGCCAGUCUGCGUGGAGCCAACCUUGAAAUACCACCCUUUAAUGUUUGAUGUUCUAACGUUGGCCCCUGACCGGGGUUGCGGACAGUGUCUGGUGGGUAGUUUGACUGGGGCGGUCUCCUCCCAAAGCGUAACGGAGGAGCACGAAGGUUAGCUAAUCCUGGUCGGACAUCAGGAGGUUAGUGCAAUGGCAUAAGCUAGCUUGACUGCGAGCGUGACGGCGCGAGCAGGUGCGAAAGCAGGUCAUAGUGAUCCGGUGGUUCUGAAUGGAAGGGCCAUCGCUCAACGGAUAAAAGGUACUCCGGGGAUAACAGGCUGAUACCGCCCAAGAGUUCAUAUCGACGGCGGUGUUUGGCACCUCGAUGUCGGCUCAUCACAUCCUGGGGCUGAAGUAGGUCCCAAGGGUAUGGCUGUUCGCCAUUUAAAGUGGUACGCGAGCUGGGUUUAGAACGUCGUGAGACAGUUCGGUCCCUAUCUGCCGUGGGCGCUGGAGAAUUGAGGGGGGCUGCUCCUAGUACGAGAGGACCGGAGUGGACGCAUCACUGGUGUUCGGGUUGUCAUGCCAAUGGCACUGCCCGGUAGCUAAAUGCGGAAGAGAUAAGUGCUGAAAGCAUCUAAGCACGAAACUUGCCCCGAGAUGAGUUCUCCCUGAGACUUUAAGUCUCCUGAAGGAACGUUAAAGACGAUGACGUUGAUAGGCCGGGUGUGUAAGCGCAGCGAUGCGUUGAGCUAACCGGUACUAAUGAACCGUGAGGCUUAACCUU
This 2782-nucleotide ribosomal RNA is filed under the name Klebsiella pneumoniae. RNAcentral's name for it is "bacterial LSU rRNA". It matches the Rfam family "Bacterial large subunit ribosomal RNA". Lineage: Bacteria; Pseudomonadati; Pseudomonadota; Gammaproteobacteria; Enterobacterales; Enterobacteriaceae. The record is from RNAcentral.